GACGAACGUUGGCGGCGUGCUUAAUACAUGCAAGUCAACUGAAGCAGUGGUAGCAAUAUCGCUGUGGAGGUGGCGCACGGGUGAGUAACACGUAGGUAAUCUGCCUUCAGGUCUGGCAUAACUCCGGGAAACCGGGGCUAAUAGCAGAUGAUGCAGCGGCUCGACAUCGAGACAGUUGUUAAAGCUAUGGCGCCUGAAGAUGAGCCUGCGUCUGAUUAGCUAGUUGGCGGGGUAACGGCCCACCAAGGCAACGAUCAGUAGCUGGUCUGAGAGGAUGAUCAGCCACACUGGAACUGAGACACGGUCCAGACUCCUACGGGAGGCAGCAGUAAGGAAGAUUGCUCAAUGGGAGAAAUCCUGAAGCAGCAACGCCGCGUGAGGGACGAAGGGCUUUUGCUUGUAAACCUCUGUAGUGAGAGAAUAAAAUCCCAAUCUUUGGGACAUGAUGGUAUCUCAAAAGUAAGCCCCGGCUAACUACGUG
Molecule: ribosomal RNA, 481 nt
Filed under: uncultured bacterium
Lineage: Bacteria
Description: partial 16S ribosomal RNA
Rfam family: Bacterial small subunit ribosomal RNA
Source: RNAcentral